Molecule: ribosomal RNA, 756 nt
Filed under: uncultured bacterium
Lineage: Bacteria
Description: bacterial SSU rRNA
Rfam family: Bacterial small subunit ribosomal RNA
Source: RNAcentral
AGAGUUUGAUCAUGGCUCAGAAUCAACGCUGGCGGCGCGCCUAACACAUGCAAGUCGAACGAGAAAGUGGAGCAAUCCAUGAGUAAAGUGGCGUACGGGUGAGUAACACGUGGGUGAUCUACCUCUUAGUGAGGAAUAACCCUGGGAAACCGGGGCUAAUACCGCAUAAGCCUUAGCAGGGAAAGUCGAAAGACGCUGAGAGAGGAGCCCGCGGCCGAUUAGCUAGUUGGUGAGGUAAGAGCCCACCAAGGCAGAGAUCGGUAGCCGGCCUGAGAGGGCACACGGCCACACUGGCACUGAAACACGGGCCAGACUCCUACGGGAGGCAGCAGUGGGGAAUCUUGCACAAUGGGGGAAACCCUGAUGCAGCGACGCCGCGUGAGCGAUGAAGCCCUUCGGGGUGUAAAGCUCUUUCGUCAGGGAAGAUAGUGACGGUACCUGGAGAAGCAGCUGCGGCUAACUACGUGCCAGCAGCCGCGGUAAUACGUAGGCAGCAAGCGUUGUUCGGAGUUACUGGGCGUAAAGGGUGUGUAGGCGGUUCUUUAAGUUUGGUGUGAAAUCUCCCGGCUCAACCGGGAGGGUGCGCCGAAUACUGAGGGACUCGAGUGCGGGAGAGGAAAGUGGAAUUCCUGGUGUAGCGGUGAAAUGCGUAGAUAUCAGGAGGAACACCGGUGGUGUAGACGGCUUUCUGGACCGUAACUGACGCUGAGACACGAAAGCGUGGGUAGCAAACAGGAUUAGAUACCCUGGUAGUCC